This 432-nucleotide ribosomal RNA is filed under the name uncultured bacterium. RNAcentral describes it as "partial 16S ribosomal RNA". It matches the Rfam family "Bacterial small subunit ribosomal RNA", at positions 29 to 506 of the family's 1533-position model. The record is from RNAcentral.
AGCGAACGCUGGCGGCAGGCUUAACACAUGCAAGUCGAGCGGGCCCUUCGGGGUCAGCGGCAGACGGGUGAGUAACGCGUGGGAACGUGCCCUUCGGUUCGGAAUAACUCAGGGAAACUUGAGCUAAUACCGGAUACGCCCUUAUGGGGAAAGGCUUGCUGCCGAAGGAUCGGCCCGCGUCUGAUUAGCUAGUUGGUGAGGUUAUGGCUCACCAAGGCGACGAUCAGUAGCUGGUCUGAGAGGAUGAUCAGCCACACUGGGACUGAGACACGGCCCAGACUCCUACGGGAGGCAGCAGUGGGGAAUAUUGGACAAUGGGGGCAACCCUGAUCCAGCCAUGCCGCGUGAGUGAUGACGGCCUUAGGGUUGUAAAGCUCUUUUCUCCGGGACGAUAAUGACGGUACCGGAGGAAUAAGCCCCGGCUAACUUCGU